AAUAUACAAGUUAUUUACAUUUUGUGUUUGGAUGGAUAAACCCAUUGCCUACGUACCAUCUUAAAAAGAUUAGGAUCAAAACCUUGUAGUUCGGGGUAAAAAUCUCAAAAUGAGUUGGUGAAUUGAUUGGUCCAAAAGCCUUAAGGUCUUUUGUUAUCCAAGGGAGAAAACUCAACCUAAAACCACAAAUCCACCAUGUGAG
Molecule: long non-coding RNA, 202 nt
Filed under: Lathyrus oleraceus (garden pea)
Lineage: Eukaryota; Viridiplantae; Streptophyta; Magnoliopsida; Fabales; Fabaceae
Description: Pisum sativum (pea) long non-coding RNA (PSAT_LNC016646)
Source: RNAcentral